Molecule: ribosomal RNA, 389 nt
Filed under: uncultured bacterium
Lineage: Bacteria
Description: bacterial SSU rRNA
Rfam family: Bacterial small subunit ribosomal RNA
Source: RNAcentral
GACGAACGCUGGCGGCGUGCUUAACACAUGCAAGUCGAGCGGUAAGGCCCUUUCGGGGGUACGACGAGCGGCGAACGGGUGAGUAACACGUGGGUGACCUGCCCUCAGCUCUGGGAUAAGCCUGGGAAACCGGGUCUAAUACUGGAUAUGACUCCAUGACGCAUGUUGUGGGGUGGAAAGCCUUGUGCGGCUGAGGAUGGGCCCGCGGCCUAUCAGCUUGUUGGUGGGGGUGAGGCCUACCAAGGCGACGACGGGUAGCCGGCCUGAGAGGGCGACCGGCCACACUGGGACUGAGACACGGCCCAGACUCCUACGGGAGGCAGCAGUGGGGAAUCCUGCGCAAUGGGCGAAAGCCUGACGCAGCGACGCCGCGUGAGGGAUGACGGCCU